UCCCAGUUUAUCUGGGCAGUCUAACUUGAGUGCGCGGCGAAUGCCGGUGGCAACAAGUCACGAGGGUUGCGCUCGUUGCGGGACUUAACCCAACAUCUCACGACACGAGCUGACGACAGCCAUGCAGCACCUGUGCAAAGCGCGUAUUGCUACGCUGUUCGGCUUUCACCGAAGUUACAAUGCAUGUCAAGCCCAGGUAAGGUUCUUCGCGUUGCAUCGAAUUAAGCCACAUACUCCACCGCUUGUGCGGGUCCCCGUCAAUUUCUUUGAGUUUUAAUCUUGCGAUCGUACUUCCCAGGCGGCGCGUUUAUCGCGUUAGCUACGGCACGGAAGGGGUCAAUUCCUCCCAUACCAAACGCGCACCGUUUACAGCUAGGACUAC
This 382-nucleotide unclassified non-coding RNA is filed under the name uncultured Verrucomicrobiaceae bacterium. RNAcentral's name for it is "contains 16S-23S intergenic spacer region". Lineage: Bacteria; Pseudomonadati; Verrucomicrobiota; Verrucomicrobiia; Verrucomicrobiales; Verrucomicrobiaceae. The record is from RNAcentral.